UAAAAAUGUCAUUUUCGAAAAAAAAAUAAAAAAAAAAUUGAUGGCAUUUUCGUUAAUUAUAUGAACUUGUGGGGUGAAUAGGGCAUAACUAAUUUAAAAAAAAAAGGUGGUUAGUUUUGUGUUUGACUUUGAGUUGUAGGUGAAUUUUGCAAAAAACCCAUUCAUUAAAAUAUAAGGAUAUAGUUAUAUGUAAAUUACAUGAUAGAAUUGAUAAUAU
Molecule: long non-coding RNA, 217 nt
Filed under: Brassica napus (rape)
Lineage: Eukaryota; Viridiplantae; Streptophyta; Magnoliopsida; Brassicales; Brassicaceae
Description: long non-coding RNA (BNAP_LNC006543)
Source: RNAcentral